RNAcentral lists this ribosomal RNA (291 nucleotides) under Triticum aestivum (bread wheat). RNAcentral's name for it is "partial small subunit ribosomal RNA". Lineage: Eukaryota; Viridiplantae; Streptophyta; Magnoliopsida; Poales; Poaceae. The record is from RNAcentral.
AUGGUUGCCAAGAUACGAACUGGUAGUGCAAUUGAUCUAGAGUGGAAGUUUGACCAAGGGCGUGCACGUAGAGCACUGGCAAAGUUGAUUGUGCUACAUGAAUUACCUUUCACUUUUGUUGAAUAUCCUGGCUUUAGGUCCUUUGUUAAGACGUUGAAUCCAUGGUUCAACGUGGUAUGCAGAGAAACAAUUAAACAAGAUUUCAUUAAUGCAUAUGAUAGACACAAAAAAGAAAAUCAAGCAUUUUUUAGCAAUUUAAGUUCUCGAGUAUCAUUAACGGGUGACAUGUGA